CACUGUCACUCCUACGGGGAGGCAGCAGUCGGGGAAUAUUGCACAAUGGGCGCAAGCCUGAUGCAGCCAUGCCGCGUGUAUGAAGAAGGCUCGGGUGUAAGUACUUUCAGUCGUGAGAAGGCGCGUCGUUAAUAGCGGCGUUGUUUGACGUUAGCGACAGAAGAAGCACCGGCUAACUCCGUGCCAGCAGCCGCGGUAAUACGGAGGUGCGAGCGUUAAUCGGAAUUACUGGGCGUAAAGCGCAUGCAGGUGGUUUGUUAAGUCAGAUGUGAAAGACCCGGGGCUCAACCUCGGAAUUGCAUUUAGUAAACUGGCAGACUAGAGUACUGUAGAGGGGGGUAGGAAUUUCAGGUGUAGCGGUGAAAUGCGUAGAGAUCUGAAGGAAUACCGGUGGCGAAGGCGGCCCCCUGGACAGAUACUGACACUCAGAUGCGAAAGCGUGGGGAGCAAACAGGAUUAGAUACCCUGGUAG
Molecule: ribosomal RNA, 472 nt
Filed under: uncultured bacterium
Lineage: Bacteria
Description: bacterial SSU rRNA
Rfam family: Bacterial small subunit ribosomal RNA
Source: RNAcentral